AUACAGAGGGUGCAAACGUUGUUCGGAAUUACUGGGCAUAAAGCGUGCGUAGGCGGUUUUGUAAGUGUGAAGUUAAAGCCCACGGCUUACCCGUGGAACUGCUUAGCAUACUGCAGAACUAGAGGAUGGUAGGGGAAAGCGGAACUCUUGGAGGAGCGGUGAAAUGCGUAGAUAUCAAGAGGAACACCAAUGGCGAGGGCAGCUUUCUGGUCCAUUUCUGACGCUGAGGUACGAAAGCUAGCGUAGCGAACGGGAUUAGAAACCCGGGUAGUCC
This 274-nucleotide ribosomal RNA is filed under the name uncultured bacterium. RNAcentral describes it as "partial 16S ribosomal RNA". It matches the Rfam family "Bacterial small subunit ribosomal RNA", at positions 523 to 796 of the family's 1533-position model. The record is from RNAcentral.